CCUACGGGAGGCAGCAGUGAGGAAUAUUGGUCAAUGGACGAGAGUCUGAACCAGCCAAGUAGCGUGAAGGAUGACUGCCCUAUGGGUUGUAAACUUCUUUUAUAUGGGAAUAAACUGUUCCACGUGUGGGAUUUUGUAUGUACCAUAUGAAUAAGGAUCGGCUAACUCCGUGCCAGCAGCCGCGGUAAUACGGAGGAUCCGAGCGUUAUCCGGAUUUAUUGGGUUUAAAGGGAGCGUAGGCGGAUUGUUAAGUCAGUUGUGAAAGUUUGCGGCUCAACCGUAAAAUUGCAGUUGAUACUGGGAGUCUUGAGUGCAGUAGAGGUAGGCGGAAUUCGUGGUGUAGCGGUGAAAUGCUUAGAUAUCACGAAGAACUCCGAUUGCGAAGGCAGCUCACUGGACUGCAACUGACGCUGAGGCUCGAAAGUGUGGGUAUCAAACAGGAUUAGAUACCCUUGUAGUC
This 460-nucleotide ribosomal RNA is filed under the name uncultured bacterium. RNAcentral describes it as "partial 16S ribosomal RNA". It matches the Rfam family "Bacterial small subunit ribosomal RNA", at positions 338 to 795 of the family's 1533-position model. The record is from RNAcentral.